UACGUAGGGUGCAAGCGUUAAUCGGAAUUACUGGGCGUAAAGCGUGCGCAGGCGGUUUUGUAAGUCUGUCGUGAAAGCCCCGGGCUCAACCUGGGAAUUGCGAUGGAGACUGCAAGGCUUGAAUCUGGCAGAGGGGGGUAGAAUUCCACGUGUAGCAGUGAAAUGCGUAGAGAUGUGGAGGAACACCGAUGGCGAAGGCAGCUCCCUGGGUCAAGAUUGACGCUCAUGCACGAAAGCGUGGGGAGCAAACAGG
Molecule: ribosomal RNA, 253 nt
Filed under: uncultured bacterium
Lineage: Bacteria
Description: partial 16S ribosomal RNA
Rfam family: Bacterial small subunit ribosomal RNA
Source: RNAcentral